GUGAAUUUCUUUUUCCUAUAAAUUUGUUAUUACUGAAAAUUGGGAUUAUUUUGUCCACCACCCACAACCAAAAGAAAAGAGGGUUUCUGGUAUUUUUUUUUAACGUUUCAUGUUGGUACACAGAGGAACUUGAUCGGAAAAGAGAGAAAUUUUACAAUCAUGGAAAGAGGGAAAGAAAAUGAAGAAGUGGUCAGAGAGGAAGAGGAAGCAAACAACUCACCGACAUAUCCAGGUUUCUUAUUCCGAUAUUGUAGCAGUUUGAAGAUAUAGUUAUUCUUCGGCAACAUAAGAGAUUUCCAUGGGUUGCGUUGAACAUGAGAUUGUUGAAUAUGUCUUAAAUUGACACUUGAAGCUAGCACAUCUACUCAAUUGAAUUGGAGGUUAUGAAAAUAUGUUUUACAAAGCUUCAACUUCAGCAGAAGGUGGACGCUUCAUUAAAUAGAUCCAAGAAGCCUCCCCAGACAUUCUUAGGGAAUAUUUGGUUAGAUGAAUCAUAAUGUAUCUGUAAUUAAAAUGAUUCAUAUUUUACUCUUUGAUAAUU
Solanum pennellii is the source of this 541-nucleotide long non-coding RNA. RefSeq lists it as uncharacterized. NCBI's taxonomy places the organism in Eukaryota, Viridiplantae, Streptophyta, Magnoliopsida, Solanales, Solanaceae. The record is from RefSeq and is a predicted model, not a curated record. The transcript is spliced from 3 exons.